RNAcentral lists this ribosomal RNA (465 nucleotides) under uncultured bacterium. RNAcentral's name for it is "partial 16S ribosomal RNA". It matches the Rfam family "Bacterial small subunit ribosomal RNA", at positions 28 to 507 of the family's 1533-position model. The record is from RNAcentral.
GACGAACGCUGGCGGCGUGCUUAACACAUGCAAGUCGAACGGAAAGGCCCCUUUGGGGGUACUCGAGUGGCGAACGGGUGAGUAACACGUGAGUAACCUGCCCUUGACUUCGGGAUAACUUCAGGAAACUGGGGCUAAUACCGGAUAGGAAUCCUUGCUGCAUGGUGGGGGUUGGAAAGCUUCGGCGGUUUUGGGUGGACUCGCGGCUUAUCAGCUUGUUGGUGGGGUAGUGGCUUCCCAAGGCUUUGACGGGUAGCCGGCCUGAGAGGGCGACCGGCCACAUUGGGGCUGCGGUACGGCCCAGAUUCCUACGGGGGGCGGCAGUGGUGAAUAUUGCACAACGGGCGGGAGCCUGAUGCAGCAACGCUGCGUGCGGGAUGACGGCCUUCGGGUUGUAAACCGCUGUCAGCAGGGGCGAAGCUUGUGGUGACGGUACCUGCAGAAGAAGCACCGGCUAACUACGUG